Molecule: long non-coding RNA, 490 nt
Organism: Salvia miltiorrhiza (redroot sage)
Lineage: Eukaryota; Viridiplantae; Streptophyta; Magnoliopsida; Lamiales; Lamiaceae
Exons: 2
Source: RefSeq, a predicted model, not a curated record
CUACUUGUUACAUAAUAUUUCAAUUUAGUUACAUAAUAUGAUCUUACAAAAGUUUUGGGGACAACAAUAAUGAGAGUGAUACAGGGGUAGUAUUUCUUUUGGCUUUUACCUAUAAUUCUUUAAUCUUUAAUUUUUUUGUCUCUGUUGUUGGAUAUUGACUGAUUUUUUUUUAAUUACUCUUUGAAAAUUUGUCAAACAAGUGGUGGGGUAGUAUAUGUGUGUAGCACAUUGAGCAGGCUGUCGAAGAGACUAAAUCAGGUAAAUGAAGUAAUACGCAAUGAUGUGGUCUACGCACUCAAUUACUCUUCAACAUUGGGUGGAGCAUUAUUUACAUUACACACUUCUCAAAUUCCUAUAGAAUUAGAUAAAUUUGUGUAGUUAUUUUAGCUAUAAAAAUUCUUAGUGGUUCACAUAUAGAUUCCGUGUAUUUUAAUUUUAUUGAACACUUACAAGUAAAUAUUUCUAUAAUGUAGAUUUUUUUUCUUUUAUA